This 1112-nucleotide long non-coding RNA is filed under the name Piliocolobus tephrosceles (Ugandan red Colobus). RNAcentral describes it as "lncRNA (ENSPTEG00000005655.1)". Lineage: Eukaryota; Metazoa; Chordata; Mammalia; Primates; Cercopithecidae. The record is from RNAcentral.
AAAAAAUGUGUAAAAAUAUAAAAAAAAAAAGAGUUAGCAGUAGAGUUGAUUGUGAUGUUAGUGGUAGUGUGGCUAACGUGGUUAGCGGCAGCAAUGUCAUACGUGAGAAUCAAAUACCUACAUCAAAUGAAAGAUUAUUGAAAAAAGCAAACAUUUGUAAUAAUGUAACUUAUAACUGUAAUUAUGAAAAAUAUAAUAUGUUUGAUAGCAGUUUAAUUGAAGAAUGUUUUUUAUCGUCAUUAAAAAUAUGUUCUAUGGAAAAUAGAUCAUGGAUAACAUGGGCAGAUUAUUGUUAUAAUAUUUUUAAACAGAAUAAUAACAAGAGACUUGGUAUAAGUGCUUUAAUUUCUUAUUUAAUGCAUUGUAGUUUGAAUAGUAGUGAAAGCUACUAUUAUAUAAGUAAUGUAUUACAUAUAUUAAAUUGUGAUUUUGAUGACAGUAACAUAUUUCAAAUUUUUAAUGAAUACAAUGAUAAUAUUUGUUCAAGUGUUUGGUUAUUUUAUUUACCAUUUUUGUUAAAUAAUGCUAAUAUAAAUAAAAAGAAUUAUAUUUAUUUUCAUAAAAUAUUUUAUAUGCUAAUGAGCACAUACCCUCAAGAUAUUUUUUACGAUUUAAGAACGUUACAUAUAAAUAAAAUAGAUAAAUCGUAUUAUUUUAUGAAGAUAAACAAUGUUAAAGAGAAUGGAAAGUUUGAAAAGGUGGAUUAUUUGAUAAAAGAUGGUGCGAAUGGUAUGAGAAGUGAACGAAGAGGUAGGAAGGGCAGACCCAGGGGAACAAGUAAUGUAGUAAAUAGAAAAGAAAAUAAAGGAACAAGUAAGGGAAAACGUAGCGAUUAUGUGAAUAAAAAGAAAAAUGUGGUACAAACCAAUUCAACAAAUAUGGUAGGAGACACUGUGUCAAGUAUUAAUGUACAAAGCAGUAAUUGUUUAGAUAACUGUAAGUUGGAAAAUGACAUGGUAAUAGGAACUGGUAUGAUAGUUACUAGUAGUGUUAGGUCUGGCGAUAGUGUCCAUGAUAGCAAUGGUCCUGCUAAUAACUCUAACCAUAACCACAACGUUAACCACAAUUGCAACAAUGGCGCUAAUAGUAGAGCUAACCAUAAGACCGACGGA